Molecule: ribosomal RNA, 403 nt
Filed under: uncultured bacterium
Lineage: Bacteria
Description: bacterial SSU rRNA
Rfam family: Bacterial small subunit ribosomal RNA
Source: RNAcentral
GGGGGAUAUUGCACAAUGGGCGAAAGCCUGAUGCAGCAACGCCGCGUGAGGGAAGACGGUUUUCGGAUUGUAAACCUCUGUCUUUGGUGAAGAAAAAAAUGACGGUAGCCGAGGAGGAAGCCACGGCUAACUACGUGCCAGCAGCCGCGGUAAUACGUAGGUGGCGAGCGUUGUCCGGAAUUACUGGGUGUAAAGGGAGCGCAGGCGGGAGAACAAGUCAGCUGUGAAAACUAUGGGCUUAACCCAUAAACUGCAGUUGAAACUGUUUUUCUUGAGUGGAGUAGAGGUAGGCGGAAUUCCGAGUGUAGCGGUGAAAUGCGUAGAUAUUCGGAGGAACACCAGUGGCGAAGGCGGCCUACUGGGCUCUAACUGACGCUGAGGCUCGAAAGUGUGGGGAGCAAAC